Molecule: ribosomal RNA, 1019 nt
Filed under: Triticum dicoccoides
Lineage: Eukaryota; Viridiplantae; Streptophyta; Magnoliopsida; Poales; Poaceae
Description: rRNA SSU_rRNA_eukarya
Rfam family: Bacterial small subunit ribosomal RNA
Source: RNAcentral
GGGGAGUACGGUCGCAAGACCGAAACUCAAAGGAAUUGACGGGGGCCUGCACAAGCGGUGGAGCAUGUGGUUUAAUUUGAUACAACGUGCAAAACCUUACCAGCCCUUGACAUAUGAACAACAAAACCUGUCCUUAACAGGAUGGUACUGACUUUCAUACAGGUGCUGCAUGGCUGUCGACAGCUCGUGUCAUGAGAUGUUUGGUCAAGUCCUAUAACGAGCGGAACCCUCGUUUUGUGUUGCUGAGACAUGCGCCUAAGGAGAAAUUGCCACCGAGUGACGUGCCAGCGCUACUACUUGAUUGAGUGCCAGCACGUAGCUGUGCUUUCAGCAAGAAUUUCACCAUUGGGAGCCGGUGCCUUCCGAAGCACUUUCACGUGUGAAACAAAGUCGUCUUGCCCAAGACCCACGGAGACCUACCUAUAGUGACGUCAAAGUACCAGUGAGCAUGGAGGUUCGGUUGAAAUUGGUUACGACGACGUCGACUUGGCGACAUAGGAAGACUCGUCAUGAAGGCCAGAAAAUGGUGUGGAACGUAGUGGUAAUACUACGCACCCCGCUCCGAAUCAAAGAAAAAAGUGCGUGCCGCACUCACGAGGGACUGCCAGUGAGAUACUGGAGGAAGGUGGGGAUGACGUCAAGUCCGCAUGGCCCUUAUGGGCUGGGCCACACACGUGCUACAAUGGCAAUGAUAAUCGGAAGCAAGGCUGUAAGGCGGAGCGAAUCCAGAAAGAUUGCCUCAGUUUGGAUUGUUCUCUGCAACUCGGGAACAUGAAGUUGAAAUUGCUAGUAAUCGCGGAUCAGCAUGCCGUGGUGAAUAUGUACCCGGGCCCUACACACACCGCCCGUCACACCCUGGGAAUUGGUUUCGCCCGAAGCAUCGGACCAAUGAGCACCCAUGACUUCUGUGUACCACUAGUGCCACAAAGGCCUUUGAUGGUCUUAUUGGCGCAUACCACGGUGGGGUCUUCGACUGGGGUGAAGUCGUAACAAGGUAGCCGUAGGGGAACCUGUGGCUG